This 577-nucleotide long non-coding RNA is filed under the name Rosa chinensis. RNAcentral describes it as "sRNA RchiOBHm_Chr4g0397081". The record is from RNAcentral. Lineage: Eukaryota; Viridiplantae; Streptophyta; Magnoliopsida; Rosales; Rosaceae.
CGGUACUGGCGACCUGUUUCUCAGACUUGCGACCCGCGAAGAAGACCUGACAAUAUCUCCUCCGUCCGACUAUUUCCCAGUGGCGGACCACCAGCGAUAGGACCGUCUCGACAUCGCGACCAAGCCUAUGGCUUGCCUUUCCACUGACGAGCCCCAGCGAAGUCAAUUCGAGGCCGGAAAAUUUCUAUGGUUUCGUCGGUUUUCUUGAGUUCUCGGAGUCGCCAAUGAUGACAUGCAAGGUAAGGAAAUUAGUCUUCUCGUUGAGCUCUACGUUCCGAUAUAACUAGUUUUCGAUUUCGAUCGAGUUUUGAUGAAUUGAUAUUUUGGGACAUUGUUGACUGUCGUCGAGGUUGCUGUGCACGAUGGCGACUCUAGAGCUCCUUGGUUCGACUUUGCUACUGUUCGUGUCCUAGUGCGAGUAUUAAGGAUCGAUCAUUUGAAAAGCAGAAGUUGUAUUAAAUUAAAUCAAAGGUAAGCUUUUGGGUUGCGGUGAAUUCAAGUCGGGUUGAGCUUUAGUGAUUGAAUUCCAUUUUUAUCUUUAGUUUUAAAGUUUAUUGUCUGUGUUGAGUGACUUAUC